GGGGAAAUAGCUUAACUAGCAGAGCACAGGUUUUGCAUGCCUGAGGCCCCUGGUUCAAUGCCUGGCACCA
RNAcentral lists this transfer RNA (70 nucleotides) under Erinaceus europaeus (western European hedgehog). It matches the Rfam family "tRNA". From Rfam's summary of the family: Transfer RNA (tRNA) molecules are approximately 80 nucleotides in length. Their secondary structure includes four short double-helical elements and three loops (D, anti-codon, and T loops). Further hydrogen bonds mediate the characteristic L-shaped molecular structure. tRNAs have two regions of fundamental functional importance: the anti-codon, which is responsible for specific mRNA codon recognition, and the 3' end, to which the tRNAs corresponding amino acid is attached (by aminoacyl-tRNA synthetases). tRNAs cope with the degeneracy of the genetic code in two manners: having more than one tRNA (with a specific anti-codon) for a particular amino acid; and 'wobble' base-pairing, i.e. permitting non-standard base-pairing at the 3rd anti-codon position. Lineage: Eukaryota; Metazoa; Chordata; Mammalia; Eulipotyphla; Erinaceidae. The record is from Rfam by way of RNAcentral.